UACAGGGGGGGCAAGCGUUGUUCGGAAUUACUGGGCGUAAAGGGUCUGUAGGUGGCCAACUAAGUCAGACGUGAAAUCCCUCAGCUUAACUGGGGAACUGCGUCUGAUACUGGAUGGCUUGAGUGUGGGAGAGGAACGCGGAAUUCCAGGUGUAGCGGUGAAAUGCGUAGAUAUCUGGAGGAACACCGGUGGCGAAGGCGGCGUUCUGGACUGUUACUGACACUGAGGAACGAAAGCCAGGGGAGCAAACGGG
RNAcentral lists this ribosomal RNA (253 nucleotides) under uncultured bacterium. RNAcentral describes it as "partial 16S ribosomal RNA". It matches the Rfam family "Bacterial small subunit ribosomal RNA", at positions 524 to 776 of the family's 1533-position model. The record is from RNAcentral.